GGGUCCGUGGCGCAGUACGGAUAGCGCGUCAGCCUUCUAAGCUGAAAGUCCUGGGUUCAAAUCCCAGCGGACCCG
This 75-nucleotide transfer RNA is filed under the name Thermoproteota archaeon. Its description in RNAcentral is "Crenarchaeota archaeon (freshwater metagenome) tRNA-Arg". It matches the Rfam family "tRNA". From Rfam's summary of the family: Transfer RNA (tRNA) molecules are approximately 80 nucleotides in length. Their secondary structure includes four short double-helical elements and three loops (D, anti-codon, and T loops). Further hydrogen bonds mediate the characteristic L-shaped molecular structure. tRNAs have two regions of fundamental functional importance: the anti-codon, which is responsible for specific mRNA codon recognition, and the 3' end, to which the tRNAs corresponding amino acid is attached (by aminoacyl-tRNA synthetases). tRNAs cope with the degeneracy of the genetic code in two manners: having more than one tRNA (with a specific anti-codon) for a particular amino acid; and 'wobble' base-pairing, i.e. permitting non-standard base-pairing at the 3rd anti-codon position. Lineage: Archaea; Thermoproteati; Thermoproteota. The record is from RNAcentral.